GCCACACGUAAGCAGUCCUCUGCUCAUUAAAAAGCCAAAUUAGCCAAAUAAUCCAUUUAUGCCAUUUAAAUAAUACAAACCUACAAUGCAUAAGUAUCAAAUCAAUACAAAUGCAGAGUUUCAAUGCAUAAGUAUUAAAUCAAUACAAAUGCAGAGUUUCAUUUUUCCACUCAGUUGGCAUGUUGUUCCCUGGAUAACAUGUUUCAAAUCAAGUAAACCCAUACUGUUGCAAAGGCGGUUUUUGGCCAACAAUGAUAAGAGGGAAGUAGACUUUGUAAGCAAUUGGCAAAUAGAGGCAUAGACAUGCAUGAAAAACCAAGCGUUUGGACUUCUAUCAAGCAGUCCUCCUAAGAAGCAAAGCCAACAGAUAGCACAGUACAGAGUCGACUGAUGAUAGCGCAACAAUGAGCAGUGCCACAAUAACCAGCGUAAGGGUUGCAGUCUUCAGAGUGCUUUGGAAGCUUGGCCAUUCUAUGUACUUCAGCUGACCAGGCUGCUCAACCAGAAAUGAAAAUAGUGAUUUUGUACCCCAGAUGACUUCCUUAAUAAGAGUCAGAAAAAAAGGUUCUUGAGGCAAGUCAUCUUCAUAUCUCAACUGAUAUUGAUUCCUUCCUGCAAACAAAACAUGCUUGUUGCUAGACGGCUUUGCAGGAAUAUAUUGAAUCCUUCCUCCAGGAAUCCUUUGAGAUAGCUUAAUGACAUUGUCAUCAUUAAAUUUGAUUUCAUUACAUCUUCGAAUCCCAAAAGGUUGUUUAGAAUGAUGAAUGACCAAACCUGAAAAACUUCUUGCACAUCCAGAAACAAUGACCUUCAUAUUAGUACUAAUGUUAUCAAAAAUUGGGAAUAUUCACCAUCAACUACUAGGAGCGCCGACGAGUUGCUUCAGUAAUGCGCCUUCGAUGAGCAGCUGCGAGGAUGAGGGCAGGCGACGUUGUCUUGUGCUGCGGCGACGAGUUACUUCAGUGCUGCGGCUUCGAACACAGUGACAGUUAGGGGAUGGGGAGAAAGAGAUGACAGGGAGCUGGGUCGUGGCCAAAUG
RNAcentral lists this unclassified non-coding RNA (1039 nucleotides) under Hevea brasiliensis (rubber tree). The record is from RNAcentral. Lineage: Eukaryota; Viridiplantae; Streptophyta; Magnoliopsida; Malpighiales; Euphorbiaceae.